UGGUCAACACUGGGAUAAGUUCUUCCGGGUCUGCCGUCUGUUGUGUGUUUGCGGUUCCCAGGGCUGGGCCUUGUGAGCAUUUGGCUCACCUCUUCCCUCUGGCCAUCUCGUUCCCCCGGGAUGCGGACUCCAGUCAGUAGGCGAAGCUUGAUCCUGGACUAGACUCUACGCUGCCCAACAGCUGCUGUUACCGCAUGGUGCCGCACAGUUCCAGGCUCUUGGUGUCCCGAACAAAGAUUUGGACCAGACACACAGAGAUGGCAAAGCUGCAAGUUUAUUAAGCACAGUAUUCCACUCUCGGAGUGGGGAGAGCGGACUGACCUCUGCGAGAUAAGAUCAGCCCCAGCUUGGUAUAGUUUGGGUCUUUUUUUUUUUUUUUUUUUCUGAGACGUAGUCUCGCUCUGUUGCCCAGGCCGGAGUGCAAUGGCGCCGUCCCGGCUCACCGCAACCUCCGCCUUCCGGGUUCAAGCCAUUCUCCUGCCUCAGCCUCCCGAGUAAGUAGCUGGGAUUACAGGCGCCCGCCACCACGCCCGGCUAAUUUUUGUACUUUUAGUAGAGAUGGGGUUUCACCAUGUUGGCCAGGCUUUUUUUCUCUUCCCAAGGCUGCCUAAUAUCUAGCCAGUGUCUACCUUUUUGAAUGAUAAGUGUGUUGCUUACCUUUGGCCCCUGUGUGCUUCAGAGCCGCCUCCAUUCCAUAAUUUUAAGUACAUGCAUGAUAUGCCGUCCAUAUGCAUGAGCGCUAAUGAGCUGGUUAUCCUUAUCAUGUUAAGGAUACUUUUUGUCUUUAAUGCGCGUGCUUAUGCCUAAAGAACUGCUCCUUACUGGUUUGGUCCUGAUUUCCCCGGCCAUGGGAUUUUUACUGUUUUUUUUUUUAAAAUUUUAUUUAUUUAUUUAUUUAUUUAUUUAUUUAUUUAGAGACGGAGUCUCGCUCUGUCGCCCAGGCUGGAGUGCAGUGGCGCGAUCCCGGCUCACUGCAAGCUCCGCCUCCCGGGUUCACGCCAUUGUCCUGCCUCAGCCGCCUCCCGAGUAACAGUAACAGGGACUACAGGCGCCCCCUACCACGCCCGGCUAAUUUUUUUGUAUUUUUAGUAGAGACGGGGUUUCACUGUGUUAGCCAGGAUGGUCUCGAUCUCCUGACCUCGUGAUCCGCCUGCCUCAGCCUCCCUAAGUGUUGGGUGUGAGCCACCGCGCCUGGCCUUUACUCAGUUUUUAGUCUUCCUUUUGUUUUGUCUCCUCAGCUUCUGCCAUUUAUCUUGCUUCUUGCUGGGUGAGCAAGAAGGGGCGGAUGCCCCUUCACCUUGCUUCUGCUCUCUGCUUUUUUUAUUUUUAAUUGAGACGGGGUUUCUUCAUGUUGGUCAGGCUGGUCUCGAUCUCCCAACCUCAGGUGAUCCACCUGCCUCGGCCUCCCAAAGUGCUGGGAUUACAGGUGUAAGCCACCAUGCCCAGCUUCUCUUCUGUUUUUCUAUGCUAAGGUCUCAUAAUGUUUAACCCGUGUACUUUGCUUAAAAAUUCCAGAAACUGGCCUUGAAAAAUCUAAAUAUAGGCCGGGUGUGGUGGCUCAUACCUGUAAUCCUGGCACUUUGGGAGGCCAAGGCAGGCGGAUUGCAUGAGUUCAGGAAUUGGAGACCAGCCUGGGCAACACGGUGAAACCCCGUCUCUACUAAAAUAUAAAAAAUUAGCUGGGUGUGGUGGCCUGCGCCUGUAGUCUCAGCUACUUGGGAGGCUGAGGCAGGAGAAUUCUUCUCUUGAACCCAGGGGGCAGAGGCUGCAGUGAGCCGAGGUCACACCACUACACUCCAUGCUGGGAGACACAGUGAGACUCCGUCUCCAAAAGAAACCAAACAAAAAAAAGAAAAUCUAAAUAUAAAACCAAGGUUGUGGAACGUCCCAUCCCAGGGAAAGAAUCCACAAUCCUGUUUUGGUCAAGCUGACACCUGCCAGACCAGCAGGUGGCCCAUUACUCAAAAUAGUAAUGGAAACCAGACAUGCUGACUUGUGCAUCUGAACUCCAUGUCCUGACCCCUAGCUGCAGCUGUGCCUCGGUAGAACACCCCUUUUCUUUCCUGUCUCGAUGAUUGUUGGAGCACUCUGUAAGUUUCCCUAAUAAAUGCUUUGGACUGAU
Pongo pygmaeus (Bornean orangutan) is the source of this 2122-nucleotide long non-coding RNA. RefSeq lists it as uncharacterized. The record is from RefSeq and is a predicted model, not a curated record. The transcript has 2 exons. Lineage: Eukaryota; Metazoa; Chordata; Mammalia; Primates; Hominidae.